UAGAAAGGUGCGAAGGUUGAGCAUGGUUGACCAUGGUUAGACAUUCCAGCACGACCACUCAAGCGCUCUCAUCCUUCAGUCAUAACAGGUUCUCUCUCUUCUGUGGAAGAUUUCAGAUUUUCUAGGCAAAUUUCUUGUAAUUGGUGAUGACUGAUGAUGGUGGCAGAUUUUUCCUAACUUAUAUUUUAACAUGUACAUGGCAGGUUAUUUAUAAUCCCUGUAGCUAGCUCAGCUUGUCCUCGACAUAAAUGGGUAUGACCUCAUCUUUUGUUAUAACUGAACUUGUUUUCACUUUAUCUUUCUUCUUUUAAUGAUUAGAAUUUUUUAUUGUAGAGGCUCCAGAGGAUAAUAGUAUCGUGCAUAAGGUCGAUAAAGAAUUUGAAUUUAGAAUUGGCAUGAAAUUUGCUAAUGAGGACGAAUCAUAUAAUACAUACAAUGCAUAUGCAAUUUGCAAGGGAUUUGGAGUACGAAAAGGACAAAAAGCAUACAAUAGUAAAGGAAUGUUGCGUAGAUGCACAUUUCUUUGUAAUUGUGAAGGACACUCUCCACCAAUCCCACUUCAUGAACAAAGAGAUGUUUAUAGAACAGUGAAGAGAACCGGAUGUCAAGCUUGCAUUAAAUUCAAAAUUGAAGAUGGAGAUUGGAUAGUUACCGAGUUUAAGAAUUCUCACAAUCAUCCUUUCAUUGAUGAUAGACAAAAGCACUUGAUACGGUCAUAUCGACACAUUACAAAUACUAGUAAAAGUAUUUUGACUUCUAUGGCCGGGGCGGGUAUAAGGGCUACAAAAGCAUAUUCCUACCUAAGUGGUGAAGCAGGAGGACCAGAUAAUGUUGGGUUUACUUUACGUGAUUGCCAAAACUUUUUACAAUCAAAGAGAAGGAACCUGAUUAGUACAGGUGAUUGUCAAAGUCUCAUUAACCAUUUUAAUUGCUUACAAUCAAAUGGAAGCAAUUUCUCUUAUACAUUUCAGAUGGAUAAUGAACAGAGACUGACCAAUUUUUUUUGGUCUGAUGGUGUAUCCAAGUUGGAUUAUGACAGUUUUGGAGAUGUGGUGGUAUUUGAUACCACUUACCAUACGAAUAAGUACAAUAUGAUAUGUGCACCUUUUGUUGGCUUGAAUCAUCAUUGGAAGAAUGUUCUCUUUGGUUGUGCAUUUCUAUUGGAUGAAACUAUUGGUUCAUUUGUUUGGGCAUUUCAAUCCUUUUUGAAGGUAAUGGGCGAUAAAGCACUGAAGACUAUUUUCACUGAUCAAGAUCAUGCCAUGGCAAAUGCCAUUAAAACUGUUUUUCCGAAUACUAAUCAUCAUUUGUGUAUAUGGCAUAUUGGGAAAAAUGCUACGCAUCAUACUGCACAUCUUCUUGGAAAGACAGAUUUUCGCGAUAAAUAUUGGCAAAAGCUUCUAUAUCGUUGCGAAUCUGAAUUUGAAAUGGAGAACACUUGGAAAGCUAUGUGUGAAGAAUGGAGCUUGGGAGAUAACAAGUGGUUGGAUGGUAUAUAUCGCUUGCGGCAUAAGUGGUGUCCUGCAUUUGGGCGUGAUAUUUUUUCCGCAGGAAUUAGAUCUACGCAAAGAAGUGAGAGCACAAGUAAUGUUUUUCAAGAUAUGGCAUGUAAGACUAUGACUUUGUCUGAAUUUGUCAAUCAUUAUGAAAAGCAAGCGGAAAAAAUGCGCAACACUGAAGUUAUUGAUGAUUUUGACUGUGCUCGAGGAAAGCCACGUAUUAUGGUUGAGAAUAGUGGAAUUUUGAAACAUGCUGCAAAUGUAUACACUCAUAUCAUAUAUAGGAAUUUCUAGGCUGAGUUCUUGCAUGCUUUGUCUGAACAUGUUCUUGGAUCAUAUGUUGAUGGGCCAUUGCAUACUUAUAUCUUGGGAACUGAAAGUAGUGAAAGGAAGCAUAUUGUCCAUUUUAGUUCGAGCGAUUCUACCGUCACAUGUAGUUGCAAGUUAUUUGAAAUGCAAGGAUGGUUGUGUAGGCAUAUUUUGUGCAUCUUGACUCAUGUUGUGAAUGUUACAAGUAUUCCAUCACAAUACAUUAUGAAGAGGUGGACAAAAGCUGCAAAGCAAGGGACUCCUUGUGAUGAGAUCGGACAAAGCUCUCAGGAUGCAGUUCAAUCAAAGACGUUGUGUUUGAAGAGGUUGAUGCGGUUGGCUUUCAAUGUUAUGAACUUUAGCGCGAAUCAUGAUGUUACUGAGGAGCUUGCAACUACAACUUUGUUGCGUCUUCGCUCCCAAAUUACAAAGAAAAUGAAAUGUUUAACAGAUAAUGAUCAUGUUGAUUUCUUGGUGGAAAGUGAUGAAUCUGAAGAUGCAGAAAAUUCUGGAAUUCGAGUAUGUGAUCCCCUUCGGAGAAGACCAAAAGGUGUACCAAAUACUAGAUUGAAGAGCAUCGGGGAGAAGCGAAAGAGAAAAGCCUCUUCAUGUGCACGAGUCACCUUACACAAGGAUUGAUCUUCAGUAAAAGUCUGCGAUCAUUGGAGAUUGAUCUUCCUUCGGCAAGCAAGUUCAAUGUGGAAGCAAUUUGUGUAUCUAAUCUCCAAGGAUUUAUUUUUGUUAGGCUGAGUUUUUGGUUGUUAACAGAUUAGUAGUUGUUUUGUUUUUAGAUUCUAUUUACAAGAGUCCCUUUUUGGCGAUUAAGUUACUGAUUGUAGAUAUUUGGUCACUUUUUAUGCAGGAUUGAUCUUCAGUAAAAGUCUGCGGUCAUUAGAGAUUGAUCUUCCUUCGGCAAGCAAGUUCAAUGUGGAAGCAAUUUGUGUAUCUGAUCUCCAAGGAUUUGUUUUUGUUAGGAGAAUUUUUGGUUGUUAAUAGAUUAGUAGUUGUUUUGUUUUUAGAUUCUAUUUACAAGAGUCCCUUUUUGGCGAUUAAGUUACUGAUUGUAGAUAUUUGGUUGCUUUUGUAUCUAUCUUUUAUGGCAUAUCGAAGGGAUGUACAUAUGCACAUGAUGUCGGUUUUAAUUCUCUCCCUCUUGGGGGUUUAAUGGAAGAGUUGGUCCACUUCUUAUAA
Syzygium oleosum is the source of this 2999-nucleotide RNA transcript. It is a transcript of the gene named protein FAR-RED IMPAIRED RESPONSE 1-like, with no coding region annotated. The record is from RefSeq and is a predicted model, not a curated record. The transcript is spliced from 2 exons. NCBI's taxonomy places the organism in Eukaryota, Viridiplantae, Streptophyta, Magnoliopsida, Myrtales, Myrtaceae.